AUUAUUGGGCGUAAAGGGUGCGUAGGUGGUUCGGCAAGUCUUGUGUGAAAUCUUCAGGCUCAACUUGAAGUCUGCACAAGAAACUGCCGGGCUUGAGUAUGGGAGAGGUGAGUGGAAUUUCCGGUGUAGCGGUGAAAUGCGUAGAUAUCGGAAGGAACACCUGUGGCGAAAGCGGCUCACUGGACCAUUACUGACACUGAGGCACGAAAGCUAGGGGAGCAAACAGGAUUAGAUACCCUGGUAGUCCUAGCCCUAAACGAUGAUCGCUUGGUGUGGCGGGUAUCCAACCCUGCCGUGCCGAAGCUAACGCGUUAAGCGAU
This 320-nucleotide ribosomal RNA is filed under the name uncultured Acidobacterium sp. RNAcentral describes it as "bacterial SSU rRNA". It matches the Rfam family "Bacterial small subunit ribosomal RNA", at positions 550 to 868 of the family's 1533-position model. Lineage: Bacteria; Pseudomonadati; Acidobacteriota; Terriglobia; Terriglobales; Acidobacteriaceae. The record is from RNAcentral.